GUUAGGAAUAUUGGACAAUGGGCGCAAGCCUGAUCCAGCCAUGCCGCGUGAGUGAUGAAGGCCUUCGGGUUGUAAAGCUCUUUAGCCGAUGAUUAUAAUGACUGUAGUCGGAAAAUAAGCCCCGGCUAACUUCGUGCCAGCAGCCGCGGUAAUACGAAGGGGGCGAGCGUUAUUCGGAAUCACUGGGCGUAAAGCGUGCGUAGGCGGCUUUGCAAGUUGGGAGUGAAAGCCCAGGGCUCAACCCUGGAAUUGCUCUCAAAACUGCAAGGCUCGAAUUCGGGAGAGGAUAGCGGAAUUGUCAGUGUAGCAGUGAAAUGCGUAGAUAUUGACAGGAACACCAGUGGCGUAAGCGGCUAUCUGGACCGAUAUUGACGCUGAGGCACGAAAGCGUGGGGAGCAAACAGGAUUAGAAACCCUUGUAGUCC
RNAcentral lists this ribosomal RNA (425 nucleotides) under uncultured bacterium. Its description in RNAcentral is "partial 16S ribosomal RNA". It matches the Rfam family "Bacterial small subunit ribosomal RNA", at positions 354 to 796 of the family's 1533-position model. The record is from RNAcentral.